AAUUGACUUCUCCAUUCCAUCUAAAAUCUCUUCUCUUCUCCUCUCUUUCCCCCUUAGUUAUCAGGAUUUCUUGCUUCUCAGCUCUCUUUGUGCUCUGAGGUUCUGCUGGUUUUGCAUCAGCAAGUAAUUUAGCUAUUCUUUCUCUUUUUUCCUGUUCUUCUCUUGUAGGCUUGUCUCUUUUUUGAGUCCUGGUUUCUGAAUUUUCGAGUCCAAAACAGAAACCCCAGAAAGUCAAAAUCUUGAAACCCCGGAAUUUCUAUUUCUUGCCGUAACUCUGCCAAAAAUAAAUCUUGUUUUAUCAAAAUCUUGAUGCUGCAGAUUUGGAUCUUAAUGUUUGAGGUUCAUGUCUCCAGUAGUCAGUGAAAUCCUCCGGUCAGGGUUUAUGAUCAAUUCCUCUCUCAGACGCAGAACCCACCUUGUCCAAUCUUUCUCAGUUGUGUUUCUUUACUGGUUCUAUGUUUUUUCAUAAGUGAUCUCUCAAUUCUGCCUGGAUUAUAUUAUAUAGUAAUUAGUUAGAAUAUCUAUAUACAAUUAUCUUAACUCUCUGGAUAUUAUUAUCACUACCUGGG
RNAcentral lists this long non-coding RNA (569 nucleotides) under Populus tremula. RNAcentral's name for it is "long non-coding RNA (PTRE_LNC001871)". The record is from RNAcentral. Lineage: Eukaryota; Viridiplantae; Streptophyta; Magnoliopsida; Malpighiales; Salicaceae.